CCUACGGGUGACUGCAGUGGGGGAUAUUGCACAAUGGGGGAAACCCUGAUGCAGCGACGCCGCGUGUGGGAAGACGGUCCUCUGUAUUGUAAACCACUGUCCCCAGGGACGAAGAUGACGGUACCUGCGGAGGAAGCUCCGGCAAACUACGUGCCAGCAGCCGCGGUAAUACGUAGGGAGCAAGCGUUGUCCGGAAUUACUGGGUGUAAAGGGAGCGUAGGCGGGAUGGCAAGUUGGGUGUUAAAUCUACCGGCUCAACUCGUAGUCGCACUGGAAACUGCUAUUCUUGAGUGAAGUAGAGGCAGGCGGAAUUCCUAGUGUAGCGGUGAAAUGCGUAGAUAUUAGGAGGAACACCAGUGGCGAAGGCGGCCUGCUGGGCUUUUACUGACGCUGAGGCUCGAAAGUGUGGGGAGCAAACAGGAUUAGAUACCCCAGUAGUC
RNAcentral lists this ribosomal RNA (440 nucleotides) under uncultured bacterium. RNAcentral describes it as "partial 16S ribosomal RNA". It matches the Rfam family "Bacterial small subunit ribosomal RNA", at positions 338 to 795 of the family's 1533-position model. The record is from RNAcentral.